CAUCCUCCAAGGCUAAAUACUCCUGACUGACCGAUAGUGAACCAGUACCGUGAGGGAAAGGCGAAAAGAACCCCGGCGAGGGGAGUGAAAAAGAACCUGAAACCGUGUACGUACAAGCAGUGGGAGCCCCACCACCAAAGCAUUCUCUGGUGUUGAAGGCCCUGCAAAGCAGCAUCGCGGUGGCGGAGCGUCGUUUGCGACGCCCAACACACAAAACAAGCGGUGAGUGCUUUGGGGUGGGGUGACUGCGUACCUUUUGUAUAAUGGGUCAGCGACUUAUAUUCUGUAGCAAGGUUAACCGUAUAGGGGAGCCGUAGGGAAACCGAGUCUUAACCGGGCGUUAAGUUGCAGGGUAUAGACCCGAAACCCGGUGAUCUAGCCAUGGGCAGGUUGAAGGUUGGGUAACACUAACUGGAGGACCGAACCGACUAAUGUUGAAAAAUUAGCGGAUGACCUGUGGCUGGGGGUGAAAGGCCAAUCAAACCGGGAGAUAGCUGGUUCUCCCCGAAAGCUAUUUAGGUAGCGCCUCGUGAACUCAUCUCCGGGGGUAGAGCACUGUUUCGGCUAGGGGGCCAUCCCGGCUUACCAACCCGAUGCAAACUGCGAAUACCGGAGAAUGUUAUCACGGGAGACACACGGCGGGUGCUAACGUCCGUCGUGAAGAGGGAAACAACCCAGACCGCCAGCUAAGGUCCCAAAGUCACAGUUAAGUGGGAAACGAUGUGGGAAGGCUCAGACAGCCAGGAUGUUGGCUUAGAAGCAGCCAUCAUUUAAAGAAAGCGUAAUAGCUCACUGGUCGAGUCGGCCUGCGCGGAAGAUGUAACGGGGCUAAACUGUGCACCGAAGCUGCGGCAGCGACGCUUAUGCGUUGUUGGGUAGGGGAGCGUUCUGUAAGCCUGCGAAGGUGUCCUGUGAGGGAUGCUGGAGGUAUCAGAAGUGCGAAUGCUGACAUAAGUAACGAUAAUGCGGGUGAAAAGCCCGCUCGCCGGAAGACCAAGGGUUCCUGUCCAACGUUAAUCGGGGCAGGGUGAGUCGACCCCUAAGGCGAGGCCGAAAGGCGUAGUCGAUGGGAAACGGGUUAAUAUUCCCGUA
RNAcentral lists this ribosomal RNA (1092 nucleotides) under Salmonella enterica subsp. enterica serovar Kentucky. RNAcentral's name for it is "partial 23S ribosomal RNA". It matches the Rfam family "Bacterial large subunit ribosomal RNA", at positions 454 to 1443 of the family's 2925-position model. Lineage: Bacteria; Pseudomonadati; Pseudomonadota; Gammaproteobacteria; Enterobacterales; Enterobacteriaceae. The record is from RNAcentral.